CCUACGGGUGGCAGCAGUGGGGAAUAUUGCGCAAUGGGCGAAAGCCUGACGCAGCGACGCCGCGUGAGGGAUGAAGGUCUUCGGAUCGUAAACCUCUGUCAGCAGGGAAGAACGGUCACUGUGCUAAUCAGCAGUGAAUUGACGGUACCUGCAAAGGACGCACCGGCUAACUCCGUGCCAGCAGCCGCGGUAAUACGGAGGGUGCGAGCGUUAAUCGGAAUUACUGGGCGUAAAGCGCUCGUAGGCGGUAUGUCAAGUCAAGGGUGAAAUCCCCGCGCUCAACGUGGGAACUGCCUUUGAAACUGGCAAACUGGAGUGUGUGAGAGGAUAGUGGAAUUCCAGGUGUAGGGGUGAAAUGCGUAGAUAUCUGGAGGAACAUCAGUGGCGAAGGCGACUAUCUGGCACAUAACUGACGCUGAGGAGCGAAAGCGUGGGUAGCAAACAGGAUUAGAUACCCUUGUAGUC
Molecule: ribosomal RNA, 465 nt
Filed under: uncultured bacterium
Lineage: Bacteria
Description: partial 16S ribosomal RNA
Rfam family: Bacterial small subunit ribosomal RNA
Source: RNAcentral